Molecule: ribosomal RNA, 251 nt
Filed under: uncultured bacterium
Lineage: Bacteria
Description: partial 16S ribosomal RNA
Rfam family: Bacterial small subunit ribosomal RNA
Source: RNAcentral
AGUCGAACGCAGUAGCAAUACUGAGUGGCAAACGGGUGAGUAUAAUGUGGGAAUCUGCCUUUUGGUUCGGAAUAACACGAGGAAACUUGUGCUAAUACCGGAUAAGCCCUAACGGGGAAAGUUUUAAUGCCAAAAGAUGAGCCCGCACUUGAUUAGCUAGUUGGUAAGGUAAAGGCUUACCAAGGCAACGAUCAAUAGCUGAUUUGAGAGGAUGAUCAGCCACACUGGAACUGAGACACGGUCCAGACUCC